UCGAUGAUGCCGGUUGAGCAGAUAGUUUAAUCAAAUGACGGAAAUAUCGAAAAGAUGUAAGCAUAAAGAGGAGGAAUAAAGGAAUAUUUGUCGGGUAGAAAAUAGUAGAGUAAAAAUGAGCAAUAACUUCUCAACUGCAUAGUGAGUAAAUAGACCACGAAGUGGACAAUCCAGCAGAUCGUGAAGAAGCAUCUAAGGAGUGAAAAUUCGUCAACAUAGUUGUUGCUGUUGAAGUUAAGAGUCUGAAACAUAGGUGGCAGAUCCUCUUUUUUUUUUCAAGAAAUUUUUCUUCAACUUUGACCCGAUUGUAAUUGAGGUUGCUAAUA
Molecule: long non-coding RNA, 326 nt
Organism: Octopus sinensis (East Asian common octopus)
Lineage: Eukaryota; Metazoa; Mollusca; Cephalopoda; Octopoda; Octopodidae
Exons: 3
Source: RefSeq, a predicted model, not a curated record